Long non-coding RNA from Chelonia mydas (Green sea turtle), 780 nucleotides. RefSeq lists it as uncharacterized. Lineage: Eukaryota; Metazoa; Chordata; Testudines; Cheloniidae. The record is from RefSeq and is a predicted model, not a curated record. The transcript is spliced from 3 exons.
UCUGUAUAGAAUCAUCAGUCCAUCCACCAUGGAAAUACAGCCAGCUCUAGGAUGGAAGGCAGCAGCUGGUUAACAGCAUACAGAAACGCUACACAACAGCUUUCAGGAGAUUAAUCUUGGUUCUGCCCCUUGUGAUAUCAGGCCACCAUAGCCAGCAACAGAUCAACUGUAGGUGCACACAGGACAGGAGCUCAGUAUGGACCAGAGGCUCUUACAGCCCACUCUUCUGCGUGAGCCUGCAGCGGGCAACCAGACCGCUGUGCCUGUGGCAGCACCAUCCGCAGCCAUGCAGUGUGACUCCGGCAGCGUGGCGACAUCCUUUACAUCAGAAGAUGAGCUACAAGUGAAUAAACGCGGGCUGAAAACACAAAUAGCUUCUGUAAGCGGAGGGGGAAAUGUGGCAACAAACACACCCCAGAUUCAGAUUUAUCACUAGAACUGUAUGUUUUCCCCAGCAUGGCAGGGGGCAGCCAGACAGCAGUUUGAUCUCUCACAAACCUGUCCUGUAGGAGGGCUUUUCCUUCCCCUGCUCAUGUGCUCUGUGCCUGCAGUUUUGCAGGCAAUGUGGGAGGUUGGCAGGUUUCAAACCACGAGCGUCAUCUAUUUGUUCCAUUGUGUGCCUUGCCUCUGUCAGGUUUUCUGAACAAUGUUUAGCUGCUUUUUUGUGCUUCCUCUGAUUCUACAAUAAAAGCUGUUUUGAAAGUACUAAACUAGAGGGGUAUGAGAAAGGAAACACAGACUAUGGUCUGUGCGAAUCAGAGAGGCGAUGCACCAGGAAAG